AACCACCUCCAUGUGAGUUUGUGGGUGGGGGCAGAGAUCGUAUCGAAACCCCCAUGCAGGAAACUCGUGGGCGGCGGGUCAGGGAGGGCAGGCUUUGAGCACCAAGUGUGACUCUCUGUCUUCGGCUCCCUGUCCCCGUCGCCAUUGCUUACCCUGUCAAAGGAUCUUCCUUUACAUGACUUCUCAAGUGGAUUUCCACUUAUUCACUUACAACUUUACAGCGACGGAUGUCUCGGCUCGAACAACGAUGAAGGGCGCAGCGAAGUGUGAUAAGCAUUGUGAAUUGCAGAAUUCCGUGAACCAAUAGGGAUUUGAACGUACACUGCGCUUUCGGGACAUCCCUGAAAGCAUGCUUGCUUGAGUGUCUACUCCAUCUAAUGCCAGUGGCUAAAUCCUCCCUGCGGGGGUUGGCCAACUUGUGCGUAUCUGUGUGUUAGGGCGCAACUUGUUGCCCCUGACGCAUUCAAUGUAUGGGGAUUCUUUGCUAUGCACAACUUGCUAAGUGUCUUCUGACGCCUCCUGUUGCUGCAUUGGUGAAGGUAACCCUUCCAUCCAUAGUC
RNAcentral lists this ribosomal RNA (560 nucleotides) under Heterocapsa sp. 103238. RNAcentral describes it as "eukaryotic LSU rRNA". The stretch from base 213 to 367 matches the Rfam family "5.8S ribosomal RNA". Lineage: Eukaryota; Dinophyceae; Peridiniales; Heterocapsaceae. The record is from RNAcentral.